This 280-nucleotide long non-coding RNA is filed under the name Homo sapiens (human). Its description in RNAcentral is "non-protein coding lnc-DBH-4:1". The record is from RNAcentral. Lineage: Eukaryota; Metazoa; Chordata; Mammalia; Primates; Hominidae.
GAAGAAGGAAUGGAUCGAGGAAGAGAGCAAGGGAGGAAGGGAGGGAAGCAAAACAUAUAACCGACAAAGAUGAGAGAACAGGCAGAGGCAGCAGUAGAGGAUGGAAAUACAAAAAAUUAACCGGGCGUGGUGGUGGGCAGCUGUAAUCCCAGCUACUCAGGAGUCUGAGACAGGAGAAUGGCUUGAACCUGGGAGGCGAAGGUUGCAGUGAGCCAAGAUUGCACCAUUGCACUCCAGCCUGGGCAACAAGAGUGAAACUCUGUCUCAUAAAUAAAUAACC